RNAcentral lists this ribosomal RNA (545 nucleotides) under Clostridioides difficile. RNAcentral describes it as "bacterial SSU rRNA". It matches the Rfam family "Bacterial small subunit ribosomal RNA", at positions 995 to 1533 of the family's 1533-position model. The record is from RNAcentral. Lineage: Bacteria; Bacillati; Bacillota; Clostridia; Peptostreptococcales; Peptostreptococcaceae.
CAUCUCCUUAAUCGGAGAGUUCCCUUCGGGGACAUUGGUGACAGGUGGUGCAUGGUUGUCGUCAGCUCGUGUCGUGAGAUGUUGGGUUAAGUCCCGCAACGAGCGCAACCCUUGUCUUUAGUUGCCAUCAUUAAGUUGGGCACUCUAGAGAGACUGCAAGGGAAAACCUGGAGGAAGGUGGGGAUGACGUCAAAGCAUCAUGCCCCUUAUGCUUAGGGCUACACACGUGCUACAAUGGGUAGUACAGAGGGUUGCCAAGCCGUAAGGUGGAGCUAAUCCCUUAAAGCUACUCUCAGUUCGGAUUGUAGGCUGAAACUCGCCUACAUGAAGCUGGAGUUACUAGUAAUCGCAGAUCAGAAUGCUGCGGUGAAUGCGUUCCCGGGUCUUGUACACACCGCCCGUCACACCACGGGAGUUGGAGACGCCCGAAGCCGAUUAUCUAACCUUUUGGAAGAAGUCGUCGAAGGUGGAAUCAAUAACUGGGGUGAAGUCGUAACAAGGUAGCCGUAUCGGAAGGUGCGGCUGGAUCACCUCCUUUCUAAGGA